Molecule: transfer RNA, 71 nt
Filed under: Chelonia mydas (Green sea turtle)
Lineage: Eukaryota; Metazoa; Chordata; Testudines; Cheloniidae
Rfam family: tRNA
About the family: Transfer RNA (tRNA) molecules are approximately 80 nucleotides in length. Their secondary structure includes four short double-helical elements and three loops (D, anti-codon, and T loops). Further hydrogen bonds mediate the characteristic L-shaped molecular structure. tRNAs have two regions of fundamental functional importance: the anti-codon, which is responsible for specific mRNA codon recognition, and the 3' end, to which the tRNAs corresponding amino acid is attached (by aminoacyl-tRNA synthetases). tRNAs cope with the degeneracy of the genetic code in two manners: having more than one tRNA (with a specific anti-codon) for a particular amino acid; and 'wobble' base-pairing, i.e. permitting non-standard base-pairing at the 3rd anti-codon position.
Source: Rfam by way of RNAcentral
AGAAAGAUGGUCCAAUGGUUAGUGCAUUAACCUGGGAAUUUAAAAACUUGGGUUCAAUUCCCAUCUUUCCC